Molecule: non-coding RNA, 102 nt
Organism: Acanthosepion pharaonis
Lineage: Eukaryota; Metazoa; Mollusca; Cephalopoda; Sepiida; Sepiidae
Source: the annotation of a GenBank genome assembly
CACAGCAUGUUGAAAAACUGAUCCCCAUACGAUCACCGAAGUUAAGCAACGUCCAGCCUGGUCAGUACCGAGAUGGAUGACCGCUUAGGAAUACAACGUGCU